GACGAACGCUGGCGGCGUGCUUAACACAUGCAAGUCGAACGGAAAGGCCCUGCUUUUGUGGGGUGCUCGAGUGGCGAACGGGUGAGUAACAAGUGAGUAACCUGCCCUUGACUUUGGGAUAACUUCAGGAAACUGGGGCUAAUACCGGAUAGGAGCUCCUGCUGCAUGGUGGGGGUUGGAAAGUUUCGGCGGUUGGGGAUGGACUCGCGGCUUAUCAGCUUGCUGGUGGGGUAGUGGCUUACCAAGGCUUUGACGGGUAGCCGGCCUGAGAGGGUGACCGGCCACAUUAGGACUGAGAGACGGCCCAGACUCCUACGGGAGGCAGCAGUGGGGAAUAUGGCACAAUGGGCGGAAGCCUGAUGCAGCAACGCCGCGUGCGGGAUGACGGCCUUCGGGUUGUAAAGCGCUUUCGCCUGUGACGAGGCGUGAGUGACGGUAAUGGGUAAAGAAGCACCGGCUAACUACGUG
Molecule: ribosomal RNA, 468 nt
Filed under: uncultured bacterium
Lineage: Bacteria
Description: partial 16S ribosomal RNA
Rfam family: Bacterial small subunit ribosomal RNA
Source: RNAcentral